GGCGCGCGGGGUCGCACGGUGUGCGGGGCCGGCGUCCUGCCGUGGCACCGGAUCGGGGGUGCCGUGGUUUGUUCAAGACCAGCGCGUGUUG
Molecule: transfer RNA, 91 nt
Filed under: Streptomyces sp. ADI95-16
Lineage: Bacteria; Bacillati; Actinomycetota; Actinomycetes; Kitasatosporales; Streptomycetaceae
Description: tRNA-Gly
Source: RNAcentral